CCAACAUAACCCCUAGUUGACCGCAAUGAUAUUCGUCUUUAUUUAUAUAGGGGUGUGAUUUUCGCGAUAUCAUUUGGUUGGAAAGGUGUGCAUGCUUCCUCUUCAGGAUUGGAGGAUUGAUGUCAGAUAUGUAAUCCACCUUUAUGGAACUGAGUCUGGUCUGUCAUCGUGUAAACGAAGGAGUUUGGCCAACCCUCAUAUUCUGGGCCCGGAACACGGAGUUUGAACACUGGAAAUGAUAUCGAUCGUGCUCCAUCGCAAGGCAAUUAAUUGCUAUUGUGGACUCUGUAGUUUUUAUUGGAAAGACCCAUUGACGUGGAGAGAAAUGCGGGGACCACAGAGACAUUGUUUUGGGACGAAGCCUCGGGAUGCAUAAUAGGUUGAUGACAUAGGCCUUGCGGAACUAUCUAAUACCCAAUACGAAACAUACAUUAUAGGCGCUCUUUGCAGAGAUGACCAUGUGUUUUAUCGAGUCUUAAAAAAAAUAAAGAAAAAGAAAAUCUUGGAAGAGACUGGAACUGUAUAUAAGAGGAUCCACCCAGCACCAGCAGAAAGGGAGAAAAAGCGUAAAAAAAACCUUUUGUAUACUGCUUGAUCCGUAUGUAAAGUUGCUGUACGUGGAUACAUUAAUUAAAUCCAUAUUUCUUUUCUUUAUAGUUAUAUAUAUGCAGAUAAAAGGAA
RNAcentral lists this small RNA (681 nucleotides) under Histoplasma capsulatum. RNAcentral describes it as "hypothetical RNA". The record is from RNAcentral. RNAcentral also lists the same sequence under 1 other name. Lineage: Eukaryota; Fungi; Ascomycota; Eurotiomycetes; Onygenales; Ajellomycetaceae.